CCAUGCAAGUCGAGCGGUAGAGAGGUGCUUGCACCUCUUGAGAGCGGCGGACGGGUGAGUAAUGCCUAGGAAUCUGCCUGGUAGUGGGGGAUAACGCUCGGAAACGGACGCUAAUACCGCAUACGUCCUACGGGAGAAAGCAGGGGACCUUCGGGCCUUGCGCUAUCAAAUGAGCCUAGGUCGGAUUAGCUAGUUGGUGAGGUAAUGGCU
This 210-nucleotide ribosomal RNA is filed under the name Pseudomonas sp. EA_R_14. RNAcentral describes it as "partial 16S ribosomal RNA". It matches the Rfam family "Bacterial small subunit ribosomal RNA", at positions 54 to 265 of the family's 1533-position model. The record is from RNAcentral. Lineage: Bacteria; Pseudomonadati; Pseudomonadota; Gammaproteobacteria; Pseudomonadales; Pseudomonadaceae.